AGGCGGCGAGGGCGACAUCGACGGUCACGCGCUAGCGCGUUUUUAGAAGCCAUAGCGUCAUAGAUGCUCGAUAUUUUAGACUUGUGCGGUAGCCAUUCGACAAAACGCGACUGUCCUGAGUAGACAGUGGCUGCAACCAUGCACUCCGUCGCCAAAUGCAGCAGUCGGCGUUCCUUUCAGUGCCACCCUGUCGCUGUUAGCUCUUUCGUGCUUGACUAGCGUGACAGACAUGAGUUUCAUCAAUCAGCUGGCUUCACUGGUGUGUUUCGAUGAACGAAAUUCAGGCGGAUCCCGUGCAGACCAGAAGCAGGGAGCUAGGACGCCCAAUAGGAAGAUGGCCAGCAGCGGACCCGAAGUCACUCCCAAGAGACUAGUGGAAGCCUGCGACAUUCGAACUAUAAGGAACAUGGCUGCUGCAACCCUCCUCUCUCCACCACCUAUGAUGCACACACAUGCAAUAUAGUCCAGGCAGAAGUGUGGACCGCACACCCAUGGAAAAAAGAUGCCCAGGACGAACAUGGCCAGAAGGGGACCAGACAGGGCUCCCACCAGGGACGAUGCAG
Long non-coding RNA from Dermacentor silvarum, 563 nucleotides. RefSeq lists it as uncharacterized. The record is from RefSeq and is a predicted model, not a curated record. The transcript is spliced from 4 exons. Lineage: Eukaryota; Metazoa; Arthropoda; Arachnida; Ixodida; Ixodidae.